CCAACCACGCCUUCAUUUUGAACUGCUCAGCCAACAUGAGCCAUCACUCUCACAGCCGAUUUACAUUGUGAUCCAAGCAGCCAGUGUAGAAGACACCAAUUUAAUACCAUUACCUGCUCCACCAAGAUGAGCCAAAAAGCAACUUACGUUGCAAACUAGGCAAAUAUUUCAUCGAAAUAUCGUACUGCCUGUGACAAUAUGCACAAACUCAUUACCAGUUCAACAGCUCCACCACGAGCCAAAGCAACCAAAACGCUAUACAAACGCCAUACUAACACCAUUAUUACAACAGCUCAGCCAACAAGAGCCAAUAACUGCACAACCGAUUUACACUGUGCCAAGCCAAAAUAGUAAUCUAUUUCUCUCACCCAAGAUCCAGCAUACCAUCGACUUGCAACUGUUCCACAAUCCCAACUGGAAUCACCGCAUAAAUAACCCAUAACAACUCCGUGGAGUCGCUAAGGACCACCAGAUCCAGCAUACCAUCGACUUGCAACUGUUCCACAAUCCCAACUGGAAUCACCGCAUAAAUAACCCAUAACAACUCCCGUGGAGUCGCUAAGGACCACCAGAUCCAGCAUACCAUCACUUGCAACUGUUCCACAAUCCCAACUGGAAUCACCGCAUAAAUAACCCAUAACAACUCCGUGGACUUGCUAAGGACCACCAGAUCCAGCAUACCAUCGACUGCAACUGUUCCACAAUCCCAACUGGAAUCACCGCAUAAAUAACCCAUAACAACUCCGUGGAGUCGCUAAGGACCACCAGGUUAGUCUAAGUUGGGACUCUUUGCCCAACACUACUUACAUUUUAUGAACCAUUAAUCAUCUCGUUUGAAAGUAUUUAGAUUGUCCUAUGGAGCAGCAUAUAUUGCCGUCAACGACCAGCAGUAAUUUCAAAUAUGGAUAUAUUUGCCUGCCGCUGAUCUGUUUUAUGCAUGUGUGUAAAAUGUACGCACUUUCAUACUGUGUCAAUACCCAGUGCUCCAACGGUGAACAUCUGAUGCCAGCCUCUGAUUCGACUGUGCCAGUGCCAACCGCCCAAAGGACUCCAAUCUUAAACAUAAAUACAAAUAGGUUCCCAAAUUGGGAAGAUAGUCAGACUAGUAUGCUUAAGAUUGUUAAUUCAAAUCCAUGUCUCCUAGUGGCCAAUGCCAAGCUUUUCAAAUAAUAUGUCAAAUUUAAAAUUCCAAUUCUAAAUCAAUUGUAUUUGUACUCAUGCAUGGCCAACGCCAAGUCUUUAAGCAAUAUUGUCAAUUUCCAAAUUUUAAAUUUCAAAUCAAUUGUAUUUGUACUCAUACAUAUACACCAGUCAGGUGGCCAAUGCCAUAUUCAUAAACAAUAUUGUCAAUUCCAAAUUUAAAUACCAAUUGUAUUCGAAUGCACUAAGCGCACCAGCCUACUGGCCAUUACCAAGUCUUCUAAUCAAUAUUGU
Molecule: long non-coding RNA, 1434 nt
Organism: Drosophila montana
Lineage: Eukaryota; Metazoa; Arthropoda; Insecta; Diptera; Drosophilidae
Exons: 4
Source: RefSeq, a predicted model, not a curated record